Small nucleolar RNA from Ictidomys tridecemlineatus (thirteen-lined ground squirrel), 146 nucleotides. The record is from Ensembl. NCBI's taxonomy places the organism in Eukaryota, Metazoa, Chordata, Mammalia, Rodentia, Sciuridae.
AACAUACUUGGGACCACCCUUCAUGAAGCAUUAAAAUUCUAUUAAAACUUUAACCUUUUAAAUGAGUGUGUGUUAGAAAUUCAUUAACUGACUUUGGUUUUCUUGGCUUUGUGCAUAUUAAACCUGGUAUUUCUAUUGAUAAAAUA